RNAcentral lists this ribosomal RNA (482 nucleotides) under uncultured bacterium. RNAcentral's name for it is "partial 16S ribosomal RNA". It matches the Rfam family "Bacterial small subunit ribosomal RNA", at positions 28 to 523 of the family's 1533-position model. The record is from RNAcentral.
GAUAAACGCUGGCGGCGUGCUUAACACAUGCAAGUCGAACGAUGAAGCCCAGCUUGCUGGGUGGAUUAGUGGCGAACGGGUGAGUAACACGUGAGUAACCUACCCUUGACUCUGGGAUAAGCCCGGGAAACUGGGUCUAAUACCGGAUAGGAACGUCCACCGCAUGGUGGUUGUUGGAAAGAUUUAUCGGUCAUGGAUGGACUCGCGGCCUAUCAGCUUGUUGGUGAGGUAAUGGCUCACCAAGGCGACGACGGGUAGCCGGCCUGAGAGGGUGACCGGCCACACUGGGACUGAGACACGGCCCAGACUCCUACGGGAGGCAGCAGUGGGGAAUAUUGCACAAUGGGCGAAAGCCUGAUGCAGCGACGCCGCGUGAGGGAUGACGGCCUUCGGGUUGUAAACCUCUUUCAGUAGGGAAGAAGCGAAAGUGACGGUACCUGCAGAAGAAGCACCGGCUAACUACGUGCCAGCCGCCGCAGUAA